CACGCUCCGGAAUCACGUGUGUAAUCCUUCCAAUAAAAAGUGUGGCAUCACCGGCCAACAGCCUGUGUGUGGUUUGCCUGGAAGCAAAGCAUGUGAAGUUGGUUCUCGAGGGAGCUGACUGUGCACAUUGGGCUCGCAUGUCUGUGCAGAUGCGCCGCUCCCGGCGGGCACUCUUUGAAGAGGAUGCCCCCACUCUGCGGUUCUGGCACUGCUCUCACUAAGGGGGUGUGGGGGUAAAAGGGGGGUGGUUGCUUGUCUUUUAUUUUUGCGAGUUGGAAAUCAUGGAGGUUGUGACUCCGGCCGUUGCCAAGAUGGAUCUGGCUUUGCUGGCCCAUGAGCAGAGAGGGUCUUUGUCCAGCAAGGCUUUUGCCUCAGCUGGCAUAGUGGCGUGUUUUCUCUGCAGCAAACAGAGAGUCUACAGGUACGACCUAGAGGGCCUGUGUGGGACUUGGUCAUCAUGUUGGAGGUUCUAUCCGAGCCCCCUUCGAGCCAUUGACUGAGGCAUCUUGGAGCAACUGUGUUCCUCCUGGCCAUUUGCUCUCUUAAGAGAGUAGGAGAUUUGCAGGCCCUUUCUGUGACCCCCUCUUUCUGGAGUUUACUCCAGGAAUGGCCAGUGCGUUCCUGUACCCUAGGCUACAUUCUUAAGGUGCCCUCAGUCAUACCACGACCUGUUAGGCUCUAGGCAUUCUGUCCUCCUCCUUUUCAGGCCCCAGACUAGGAUAAGCUGAACAGAGCGCACUGAUUAGUCUCAUCAGCUACAGGUGCAGUCUUACCACUCAUUUCAUCUGGCUCUGCCCUCCACUUGCGAACCUUUGCCACAAUUUAUUUCUAAAUUUAUUAUUUAAAAUAAUAAUAACUGUACAUUAAAAAAAGUGUGUGCAAGUAAUGUGUGACGAAAGAAAGUCGCAAAGUUUCUGGGUGUACAGUAGUGACAGGCCAUCAAGACCUCCCUGCUAUCCUAAAUUUGAUUAGAAUCACUGACUUGAUUUCAGUAUAUUGUUGUCCAUGAAUGUGUAAUAAAUUAUUCCCAAUAUUGUAUUAUCUAAAUUUCAUAGCAUUUCUCCCGGAUGCAUUGUGUCUUGGAGAGUAAGUUUCUGUUUGAGCUUCUAUCCAAUCAGAUUUCAUCCAUCACACGUUGCUGGAGUCAAACUGUCAGAAGGCCAUCACUGUGAGCAAUGCAGGCCUGAUCCACUCCAGAGUUUGAGGCCUGCCCUAGCCUGGCUGAUCCCACCUCCUACAUGAUGACAUCAGUUUCCUAUUUAAGGAGGAAGGAGUAAAGCAAUCGAGGAGUGUUGUUGUUUUGGUGUUCAGGGUAUAGCUUGGUUGUUGAUGUUAGUGAUUUUAACCUCUGCCUGUUUACUGACUUUGAGCCUGUUUUGCCCCUUUGACUACUGUUGUUUGUAUAUAUUUAUUUUGUAUUAUAUUGUAAUAUAUUUGGGCACUGUAUAUAUUUAUUUCACUGGCAUUAGGGGUGUGGCUGCCAUUUACUUUGGGUGAGGGAUUGUUUUGCAGGGAGUUAGGGAAGCUGUUUGUAUUUUCCUUUUCUUUAUUUUCAGGAAAGGUAGCUUCCCCAAAACAGUCCUUUUUGUUUAUUGUUUUGGCCUUGGCCCAGCCUGAAGACAAGCCUGUAAGUCUGUGUACAUAUAUAUGUGUUACAAUAUACCAACACCUGUGUAGCAAACCUUUUUGUGUGUGUUUGUGGUUUGUGGGGUGUUCGUAACACUAUAUAAUAUUCAGGUUUAGCCAGUACAUGACAGUCAAUGUUUUGUCAGCUGUUUUUCUUUUCAAAAACUUUUCACUGCAUUGGCAGUUUGUUUGGGAUUGUUAUUGAUGCUGUUAUCCUUCAAAGAGGAAAUAAUGAAUUAAAAUUUGUCUGUACAUUACAGGGCAGACUUUCUACCAUGAUUUGCUGAAGGCUGCAAACACUACUUCUUUCAUCUCACUCCAAGUACUAUUCUCAAAUAAUGUCAAUGAUUUCACCCAAAAAUUCCAAACUUAGAUUUCUCACUUUAUAGUACUCUUUUUUAAAUAAUCUUUAUUCCAAUCUUUGUGCAUUUUUAGCAAAUAUAAGCUUUUCCAACCUGUACCCUUCAUAGUGUUUUUUUGGCAGCUACCCUUUUACAAUUACCAUUCCUGAUCAAGCUGGACUGUAGCAGGGUCUACUUGGCAUCCCAAAGAAGCUGCCAGAUGCUGAGCCAGGAGGGCCCGUGGCCAGGUCCUCAAGUGGGGGCACUCUUCCUGCCUCACCUGCCAUCUCGGGACCACCCGCACCCUGGAGGAGGUUCUGGUGUCCUUCUUUCCAGGAAGAUAUUCAAGCCAUUGUCUCUCCGCCUGUGUCAUAUGCAACCAGUCAAAAGACACCUCACCAAAGGCCAACAACAUGUGAGAUGAUCUCAUCAGGUUUGGAGCAGGACCCGGGACAGGCUGCUCCGCACCUCUCAGCUUUACCAAUGGCAGGCUAAUCAUCACCGCAGGCAGGCAGGCACCCAACCUAAGGGUUGGCCAGAGUGUCUGGCUCUUAACUACACACCUGCCCUUGCACAUGGCGUCUUGUACCCCCCCACCCAUCGGCCUCUAUUUAUCGGGGGUCAACCGAUACAGGACUCGCCUCAUGUACAACGAUCUUUGCAGUAUCUGAUGGAUUGGGAGGGCUACGGCUCAGAAGGAGCGCUCCUGGGUUCCUUCCCGGGACAUCCUUGACCCCGAGCUCAUCAGAGAGAUCCAUGCCCACCAAGCUGAUUGUCCUGGGAGGAAAGUCAGGAGCCGUUCCUUAAGGGGGGGGUCUUGUUAGGGUCCUGUUAGGUUCCUGUUGCCUUUUUGUUAAUCUCCUUCCCUACCCCUCUUCUUCACCUGUUUCCUAUGUAACCUGUCCUUAUUUAAACCUCGUCUUUCUUGCAUGCGCCAAUUGGUCUUUAGCUAAUCUAACCGUAUAGCUCGCUUCCUGAAGCUUUUUACCGAGGCUUUUGCGAUUCAUCAAGCCUUUUUCGAGUUUCACUUUCCAGCUCGCGUCCUUCUCCCGAGGCAUUUUUCUGCAUGGCUUCUCCCGAGGCUUCGAGUGUAAGUUCAUUCCUCGAGUUCUUCUCUCCCUUCAAAUUCUUUUAGUCGUCUUCUAGUUCUUUCGGUUUAGUUUAAGCUGGGCUUUCUCCUGAAUUUUCUCAAGGAGAUCUGACAAACCAGCCUUCUGGUAACUUUGUUUCUGUUUGUUCUUUGCCAUCCUCCUGUUUUUGAUGCUGCCCUUUUCUCUCUUUGUUUCAUUUGUGACAUAUUUUAUGAAGAUAAAAUUAAUACAAUGAAUGUAAUAAAAUGUUUAUUAUAUAGAUUAAAUUGAGUAAUCAAUUAAAGUGGCACAAAAAA
Molecule: long non-coding RNA, 3354 nt
Organism: Silurus meridionalis
Lineage: Eukaryota; Metazoa; Chordata; Actinopteri; Siluriformes; Siluridae
Exons: 4
Source: RefSeq, a predicted model, not a curated record